Molecule: transfer RNA, 90 nt
Filed under: Salinivirgaceae bacterium
Lineage: Bacteria; Pseudomonadati; Bacteroidota; Bacteroidia; Bacteroidales; Salinivirgaceae
Description: tRNA-Ser
Rfam family: tRNA
About the family: Transfer RNA (tRNA) molecules are approximately 80 nucleotides in length. Their secondary structure includes four short double-helical elements and three loops (D, anti-codon, and T loops). Further hydrogen bonds mediate the characteristic L-shaped molecular structure. tRNAs have two regions of fundamental functional importance: the anti-codon, which is responsible for specific mRNA codon recognition, and the 3' end, to which the tRNAs corresponding amino acid is attached (by aminoacyl-tRNA synthetases). tRNAs cope with the degeneracy of the genetic code in two manners: having more than one tRNA (with a specific anti-codon) for a particular amino acid; and 'wobble' base-pairing, i.e. permitting non-standard base-pairing at the 3rd anti-codon position.
Source: RNAcentral
GGAGAAAUGGCCGAGUGGUUGAAGGCGCACGCUUGGAAAGCGUGUAUACUAUGUGAAAUGGUAUCGGGGGUUCGAAUCCCUUUUUCUCCG